This 315-nucleotide unclassified non-coding RNA is filed under the name plant metagenome. Its description in RNAcentral is "partial contains 5.8S ribosomal RNA, internal transcribed spacer 2, and large subunit ribosomal RNA". The stretch from base 1 to 104 matches the Rfam family "5.8S ribosomal RNA", at positions 51 to 154 of the family's 154-position model. The record is from RNAcentral.
AAAUGCGAUAACUAGUGUGAAUUGCAGAAUUCCGUGAAUCAUCGAGUCUUUGAACGCACAUUGCGCCCCCUGGUAUUCCGGGGGGCAUGCCUGUCCGAGCGUCAUUGCUGCCCAUCAAGCACGGCUUGUGUGUUGGGUCGUCGUCCCCUCUCCGGGGGGGACGGGCCCCAAAGGCAGCGGCGGCACCGCGUCCGAUCCUCGAGCGUAUGAGGCUUUGUCACCCGCUCUGUAGGCCCGGCCGGCGCUUGCCGAACGCAAAUCAAUCUUUUUCCAGGUUGACCUCGGAUCAGGUAGGGAUACCCGCUGAACUUAAGC